UACGUAGGGGGCUAGCGUUAUCCGGAAUUACUGGGCGUAAAGGGUGCGUAGGAGGUCUUUCAAGCCAGAAGUGAAAGGCUACGGCUCAACCGUAGUAAGCUUUUGGAACUGUAAGACUUGAGUGCAGGAGAGGAGAGUGGAAUUCCUAGUGUAGCGGUGAAAUGCGUAGAUAUUAGGAGGAACACCAGUAGCGAAGGCGGCUCUCUGGACUGUAACUGACGCUGAGGCACGAAAGCGUGGGGAGCAAACAGGAUUAGAUACCCGGGUAGUCCCUGAG
RNAcentral lists this ribosomal RNA (277 nucleotides) under uncultured prokaryote. RNAcentral's name for it is "partial 16S ribosomal RNA". It matches the Rfam family "Bacterial small subunit ribosomal RNA", at positions 524 to 801 of the family's 1533-position model. The record is from RNAcentral.